CCUACGGGUGGCAGCAGUGGGGAAUAUUGGACAAUGGGCGAAAGCCUGAUCCAGCCAUGCCGCGUGUGUGAAGAAGGCCUUCGGGUUGUAAAGCACUUUCAGUGGGGAAGAAAGCCUUGGGGCUAAUACCCUCGAGGAAGGACAUCACCCACAGAAGAAGCACCGGCUAACUCCGUGCCAGCAGCCGCGGUAAUACGGAGGGUGCGAGCGUUAAUCGGAAUUACUGGGCGUAAAGCGCGCGUAGGCGGUCUGAUAAGCCGGUUGUGAAAGCCCCGGGUUCAACCUGGGAACGGCAUCCGGAACUGUCAGGCUAGAGUGCAGGAGAGGAAGGUAGAAUUCCCGGUGUAGCGGUGAAAUGCGUAGAGAUCGGGAGGAAUACCAGUGGCGAAGGCGGCCUUCUGGACUGACACUGACGCUGAGGUGCGAAAGCGUGGGUAGCAAACAGGAUUAGAUACCCGGGUAGUC
This 465-nucleotide ribosomal RNA is filed under the name Vreelandella stevensii. Its description in RNAcentral is "partial 16S ribosomal RNA". It matches the Rfam family "Bacterial small subunit ribosomal RNA", at positions 338 to 795 of the family's 1533-position model. The record is from RNAcentral. Lineage: Bacteria; Pseudomonadati; Pseudomonadota; Gammaproteobacteria; Oceanospirillales; Halomonadaceae.